CCUACGGGGGGCAGCAGUGGGGAAUAUUGCACAAUGGGGGAAACCCUGAUGCAGCGACGCCGCGUGAGUGAAGAAGUAUUUCGGUAUGUAAAGCUCUAUCAGCAGGGAAGAAGAAAGACGGUACCUGACUAAGAAGCCCCGGCUAACUACGUGCCAGCAGCCGCGGUACUACGUAGGGGGCAAGCGUUAUCCGGAUUUACUGGGUGUAAGGGGAGCGUAGACGGCUGUGCAAGUCUGAAGUGAAAGCCCAGGGCUCAACCCUGGGACUGCUUUGGAAACUGUGGAGCUAGAGUGCUGAGAGGUAGGUGGAAUUCGUAGUGUAGCGGUGAAAUGCGUAGAUAUUAGGAGGAACACCAGUGGCGAAGGCGGCUUACUGGACAGUAACUGACGUUGAGGCUCGAAAGCGUGGGGAGCAAACAGGAUUAGAUACCCCGGUAGUC
Molecule: ribosomal RNA, 440 nt
Filed under: uncultured bacterium
Lineage: Bacteria
Description: partial 16S ribosomal RNA
Rfam family: Bacterial small subunit ribosomal RNA
Source: RNAcentral